AAUCAACGCUGGCGGCGUGCCUAACACAUGCAAGUCGAACGCGAAAGCCCCGCAAGGGGUAAGUAGAGUGGCGAACGGGUGAGUAACACGUGGGUGACCUACCUUCGAGUGGGGGAUAACGUCCCGAAAGGGACGCUAAUACCGCAUAACAUCCUGCUUUUGAAUAGGCGGAGAUCAAAGCUGGGGAUCGCAAGACCUGGCGUUUGGAGAGGGGCCCGCGUCUGAUUAGCUAGUUGGUGAGGUAACGGCCCACCAAGGCGACGAUCAGUA
RNAcentral lists this ribosomal RNA (270 nucleotides) under uncultured bacterium. RNAcentral describes it as "partial 16S ribosomal RNA". It matches the Rfam family "Bacterial small subunit ribosomal RNA", at positions 32 to 285 of the family's 1533-position model. The record is from RNAcentral.